GAUGAACGCUGGCGGCGUGCCUAAUACAUGCAAGUCGAGCGAACAGAUGAGGAGCUUGCUCCUCUGACGUUAGCGGCGGACGGGUGAGUAACACGUGGAUAACCUACCUAUAAGACUGGGAUAACUUCGGGAAACCGGAGCUAAUACCGGAUAAUAUAUUGAACCGCAUGGUUCAAUAGUGAAAGACGGUUUUGCUGUCACUUAUAGAUGGAUCCGCGCCGCAUUAGCUAGUUGGUAAGGUAACGGCUUACCAAGGCGACGAUGCGUAGCCGACCUGAGAGGGUGAUCGGCCACACUGGAACUGAGACACGGUCCAGACUCCUACGGGAGGCAGCAGUAGGGAAUCUUCCGCAAUGGGCGAAAGCUUGACGGAGCAACGCCGCGUGAGUGAUGAAGGUCUUCGGAUCGUAAAACGCUGUUAUUAGGGAAGAACAAAUGUGUAAGUAACUAUGCACGUCUUGACGGUACCUAAUCAGAAAGCCACGGCUAACUACGU
RNAcentral lists this ribosomal RNA (496 nucleotides) under uncultured bacterium. Its description in RNAcentral is "partial 16S ribosomal RNA". It matches the Rfam family "Bacterial small subunit ribosomal RNA", at positions 28 to 506 of the family's 1533-position model. The record is from RNAcentral.